UUACUCUUUCGGGGUUAGGUGUAAUUCCUUACCGGCGGUAUAGCCCGCGAGCCAAAUGGCAGAUCCGGUUUAAUUCCGGAGCCGACAGUUAAAGUCUGGAUGGGAGAAAGAGAUU
RNAcentral lists this non-coding RNA (115 nucleotides) under Clostridiaceae bacterium. RNAcentral describes it as "FMN sequence". It matches the Rfam family "FMN riboswitch aptamer (RFN element)". Rfam says of the family: The RFN element is a highly conserved domain that is found frequently in the 5'-untranslated regions of prokaryotic mRNAs that encode for flavin mononucleotide (FMN) biosynthesis and transport proteins. This element is a metabolite-dependent riboswitch that directly binds FMN in the absence of proteins. In Bacillus subtilis, the riboswitch most likely controls gene expression by causing premature transcription termination within the 5' untranslated region of the ribDEAHT operon and precluding access to the ribosome-binding site of ypaA mRNA. Lineage: Bacteria; Bacillati; Bacillota; Clostridia; Eubacteriales; Clostridiaceae. The record is from RNAcentral.